GCUAAAAAUCUAGCCCCCCAUCCACCCAAUAAGCCCUGUGAACUAAACACAUAAAUUAAAACAUUCUCAUAUCUUAGUAAAGGCGAUUGAAAAGCAACUAUGGAGCUAUAAAAAUAGUACCGCAAGGGAAAGAUGAAAUAAAAAUGAAAUAAAUUUUAAGCACAAAAAAGUAGAGAUUAACUCUCGUACCUUUUGCAUCAUGGUUUAACUAGUUAAAUCAAGCAAAACGACCUAAAGUUUGACACCCCGAAACUAGGCGAGCUACUUCAGGACAGCUUUAUGAGCUAACCCGUCUCUGUUGCAAAAGAGUGGAGAGAUCCUCAAGUAGCGGUGAUAGACCUAACGAGCCUAGUGAUAGCUGGUUACUCAGGAAAAGAAUUUUAGUCCAACCUAAAGAAUAAUAAAUAAUCUUAGAUAACCCCUUCUUUAGAGUAAUUCAAAUAAGGUACAGCUUAUUUGAAACAGGAUACAACCUAAGCCGAAGGGUAAUUAUUUGUAUAACAAUCAAGUAGGCUUAAGAGCAGCCAUCUUUAAAAUAGCGUCAAAGCUUUAUUGUUUAGACACCCAAUACCAAAAAUAGCCCAGAACCCUCCACCAAUACUGAGUACUUCUAUACACCUAUAGAAUUUUUAAUGUUAAAACUAGUAACAAGAAGAAGACCUUCUCUUUAAUGCGAGUGUAAAUCAUAAAGGACACACCGAUGAACAUUAACAUACAUGAAAACAAAUUAGCAACUCCUCAAGAAAACCCUACUCUGUAUUAUGUUAAUCUAACACAAGAGCAUUACAAGAAAGAUUAAAAGAAAAAGAAGGAACUCGGCAAACAUUAACCUCGCCUGUUUACCAAAAACAUCGCCUCUUGCCCGAAUAUAAGAGGUCCAGCCUGCCCAGUGACUCUGUUCAACGGCCGCGGUAUCCUAACCGUGCGAAGGUAGCGUAAUCACUUGUCCUUUAAAUAAGGACUAGUAUGAACGGCACCACGAGGGUUAUACUGUCUCCUUUUUCCAAUCAGUAAACCUAAUCUCCCCGUGAAGAAGCGGGGAUAAAACUAUAAGACGAGAAGACCCUAUGGAGCUUUAAACUAAGUAACAAUUGCUUAUUCAUCCACACAUUUCAGAAUACUAAUACUUAUACUAGCUACAUGUUUACUAGUUUUAGGUUGGGGUGACCGCGGAGUACAAAACAACCUCCACAUUGAACGGAAUUUAUAUUUCUGAGUUAAGAGUUACAACCCUAAACACCAACAAAUUGACAUUAAUUGACCCAAUAUUUUGACCAACGAACCAAGUUACCCUAGGGAUAACAGCGCAAUCCGCUUAAAGAGCUCCUAUCGACAAGCGGGUUUACGACCUCGAUGUUGGAUCAGGGUAUCCCAGUGGUGCAGCCGCUACUAAAGGUUCGUUUGUUCAACGAUUAAAACCCU
RNAcentral lists this ribosomal RNA (1422 nucleotides) under Ptychohyla hypomykter (Copan stream frog). RNAcentral's name for it is "partial 16S ribosomal RNA". It matches the Rfam family "Bacterial large subunit ribosomal RNA", at positions 130 to 2597 of the family's 2925-position model. Lineage: Eukaryota; Metazoa; Chordata; Amphibia; Anura; Hylidae. The record is from RNAcentral.